Molecule: long non-coding RNA, 1472 nt
Organism: Heterocephalus glaber (naked mole-rat)
Lineage: Eukaryota; Metazoa; Chordata; Mammalia; Rodentia; Bathyergidae
Source: Ensembl
AUCUUCUGCUGCGGUGCCAAAUUCCCCAAUGGGAUGGCAUCCAUGUGUUCUUAAGUCUGUCCGGUGCCACGCCACCCCCAACAGGCUCAGGCUAGGGGGAGCAGAAAGAUGGAGCAGAAAAAGAUUAUUGAAGAUUGAAGACAAAACUUUUGGUCUAAAGAAUCAGAAAGGAGGAGCAAAGCAAAAGAACUUUAUCAAGGCCUUCGGUCAAGUUAAAUUAAAAUCUACGUCAGGUAGUACAAUGUGAAGCUGAAGAGAAACUGAAGAAAGAUGAUAGCAGGAGUUAAACGAGCUGUUCAAACCUGUAGUUGCUGCUCAGAAAAUAAGUAAAGUUGCAGAUCCCAAAUCCGUGGUUUGUGGCUUCUUCAAGCAAGGACUGUACUGAAGGAGAAUCAACAGGAUGUCAUUUCCCAAGCUGAUUCUGGAGGGCUUACUCUCCUCUACAAAAGGAAUAUUCUCCCUAUGUCUUCUCUUCUGACUUCUGACAUCUUGCAGGUGAAGUGUGGAACAGUCCACAAUAUACUAAAUCAUGAGUCCUCAGUGAAUGCCUAUGGAUGUGGAUUGCCUGGGCUGGUAAAGACGCGAGCACUUCAUUUAAGGGGCCCAGUGGAUUCGUGACAAUGGACAACCCUACGAAGCCUCCUAUGAUUCUCCUCAUGAUUCUGGGACCACCUGUUGGGCUGCAGAACUCAGGCUCAACAGUUCUCUGUGGCUACCAUUUGGCUUUUGCUCUGUGGAGAACAGAUCACCCUGAGGAUAAGCAGGAUGUUUUAAAAGCCUCAUUCUUGUUUCUUAAAUGUCUUCAUGUGCUAAAGGAACAUUUAAAAAUAAAAACAGACAUUCGUUUCUCAACGGUCACAGUUCAAAAUGGCAUGUACAAGUCUUCCUGUGGUCAGUUUGGAAACUCAAAUAGCUUUUCAUGUUGCUUUUUAAACAGAAAAGUAAUUUGUAAAUGAAGGAAAGCCUUUGGCAUUCCAAAAGUGACCCUGAGUUCUGGCCCCUGGGGAGUACCAUCAAACAGCUUCCAUCUAGCAGGAUUGAAAGAACUGAGUGGGAACAUGGCCUAUGCCAAAGACCCACUUUGCAGAUGUGCUUCAAUUCCGGCUACUGAGGAAAAUUAGAGAGCGCGAUAUAUCUUUGGCAUUUCUUCCUCUGUGGUGCAGUGGAAAAGAACAUAGGCUCUGGAGUCAGAGAGACCUGGAUUUUUAUUGUAGCUCCAUCAUUAAUUAUCUGAGGGACCUUGGACAAUUAUUUUAGCCCCUGAACCUCGGUUUCCUCGUGACUAACAAAGGAGUUUUGAUGACUGCAGGAGGUGAUUUGCAUAUACAAUGAGUAUUUAAAUUUUAAAUAUAACAUUUUUAAUAUUUAAAUUGUAAAUUCAUUAUGGUAAAAGACACACAUUGGCACAUUGUCAUUAAUCCUCUUCAAAAUACUCCCUCUAGCUAUGAACACACUUUUCCCCCAUUAUUCUU